UGCCAGCCGCCGCGGUAAUACGGAGGGUGCAAGCGAUGUUCGGAAUUACUGGGCGUAAAGCGCGCGUAGGCGGCUAUUUAAGUCAGAUGUGAAAGUCCACGGCUCAACCGUGGAAGUGCAUUUGAAACUGGAUGGCUUGAGUACUGGAGGGGGUGGUGGAAUUCCCGGUGUAGAGGUGAAAUUCGUAGAUAUCGGGAGGAAUACCGGUGGCGAAGGCGACUUCCUGGGCCAAUACUGACGCUGAGGCGCGAAAGCGUGGGUAGCAAACAGGAUUAGAUA
This 279-nucleotide ribosomal RNA is filed under the name uncultured bacterium. RNAcentral's name for it is "partial 16S ribosomal RNA". It matches the Rfam family "Bacterial small subunit ribosomal RNA", at positions 506 to 784 of the family's 1533-position model. The record is from RNAcentral.